GUGUCAGCAGCCGCGGUAAUACGGAGGGUGCGAGCGUUGUCCGGAAUCACUGGGCGUAAAGGGCGCGUAGGCGGCGCAGCAAGUCAGCGGUGAAAGCCCGAGGCUCAACUUCGGGUCGGCCGAUGAUACUGCUGUGCUUGAGCACUGUAGAGGCAGGUGGAAUUCCGGGUGUAGCGGUGGAAUGCGUAGAGAUCCGGAAGAACACCGGUGGCGAAGGCGGCCUGCUGGGCAGUUGCUGACGCUGAUGCGCGACAGCGUGGGGAGCAAACAGGAUUAGAUACCCUGGUAGUCC
This 292-nucleotide ribosomal RNA is filed under the name uncultured bacterium. RNAcentral's name for it is "partial 16S ribosomal RNA". It matches the Rfam family "Bacterial small subunit ribosomal RNA", at positions 505 to 796 of the family's 1533-position model. The record is from RNAcentral.